AGAGUGCAUUUGAGCCAAGGAUGACUUGCCGGCGGCAUCAUGCACAAAUGUAGAGUCCCAUCUCAUUUGCGUGUUGUCGGCGAGGAGUCCUGGCUCACUUUUGUUCUCU
This 109-nucleotide microRNA precursor is filed under the name Trifolium pratense (red clover). The record is from RNAcentral. Lineage: Eukaryota; Viridiplantae; Streptophyta; Magnoliopsida; Fabales; Fabaceae.